RNAcentral lists this unclassified non-coding RNA (1100 nucleotides) under Hevea brasiliensis (rubber tree). Lineage: Eukaryota; Viridiplantae; Streptophyta; Magnoliopsida; Malpighiales; Euphorbiaceae. The record is from RNAcentral.
CACGCUUGAAAGUAUCUAUUUGUUCGCAUUCAUCUCCUUUCCUGAAACAACCAAUGAUGCACUGUGGUUUAUUCCAGCUGCUAGUUUGGCUAGUCACUCUCAUAUCCAUCAUCUUCCUUAUUUUUUUUCAAGAUCAUCAUCAUCAUCAUCCUGAUUAUCUUCAUCCUCUUCCUAAAUUUCCUCCUGCUUUUUCUUGUCUCCAACAAUUCCAUACUCACUGAAAAUGACACUGCCAGAACACAAUCCCUCCUCAACCUUGAUGAGUUGUAGAGUCAUUCUGGGUCCAAUUUCCUGAAGCUUGACAGCACUUUUUGUAGAAGCCCUAUUAACUCUACCAAGAUCACUAGCCAGAGUCACUGUUGCUGCUUCAUCAUCUGCUUCACUUUCUGAUCCAUACCCAGCCUUAGUAACAAAGUCACUCACGUCUUGGAGACUCCUAAGAUCAGGGACUUGGUGUUUUUGUACAAACUUUCUGAUUCUACGGGAGACACCCACAGGUUGGAGUCUGAUGGAAUAAUGCCGAAAAUCAAUAAGCUUUGUAUCCUUGUUAUAAUUCAUUAACACAACUCUCUGGCAACAGGCAAGUUUGACAGUGUUAAUAUCAAUAGCUGGAAAGAUGUUCUGAAACAUUAUAGUUGUGAGCUUCAGAUGCUGUUCUCCUGACCCAAAACCAGAAAGAACAAUCAAUGGAGGAUUUUUGAAAAGAUCUUGAGGGCAUCUAGGGCGCAAUUGAGACUGCGCAACAUCUUGUGCUGUUGAAUACUCGUGUAUCUUAAAUUUAAGAGUUGGGCCUUGAGGGGUCCUUGCAACUGUCAGAUAGGGUGCAAUUUCAGUUUUUGACAAUAUAAGGAAAUGGGUGACACCCAUAGGCCCUGAAACAUUCAAAAAGUCCCUGAGGUUAUUUCGUUUCUUCUCCUUAAGAUUGAGAGCUGUAUAGGGAAGCAUCAACUUUCUUAGGUCCAUCUGAAGUUGCUUUAGAGGACCAGGCAACUUCCCUCUCGAAAACACAAAGCUCUUUGGGAUCUUAUCACCUGUGACAUGAUCUACAUUGCCCUGAUUCUUUUUCACAACUGACUUCACAGAGAUCUUCCUCUUCUUCU